GGGUCAAUGAACUACAUUAGUUCCCAGGCACAGGGACAACACAUGAUUGUUCCUUCCAUGCAAGGCAACGAGUAGAGAGUUGUAGUUUCUCAGUUACCAAUCUAAUGAAUUUUAGGGCCUGUAAAAAUGUUUAGAAUCAGCGCCUAUAGCAUCUAUUAUAUUGGUUUAUUGUCUGAUUUGGACCGAAGUGCCAAGUAUUCUUGGGACUUCGGUUUUGCUGAAGCCCUCUUCAGCUGAACAGCUUUAAUAGGCACAUAACUUCUGUAAAUUUGAU
RNAcentral lists this unclassified non-coding RNA (274 nucleotides) under Hevea brasiliensis (rubber tree). The record is from RNAcentral. Lineage: Eukaryota; Viridiplantae; Streptophyta; Magnoliopsida; Malpighiales; Euphorbiaceae.